RNAcentral lists this long non-coding RNA (676 nucleotides) under Marmota monax (woodchuck). The record is from RNAcentral. Lineage: Eukaryota; Metazoa; Chordata; Mammalia; Rodentia; Sciuridae.
GUUGAGGUAAUUCCCUCUAUCUCUAUUUAUUUAUUUAUUUAUUUGGUCCUGGGGAUUGAACCCAGGGGUGCUUUACCACUGUGCUACAUCUCCAGCCCUUUUUAUUUUUUGUUUUGAGCACAAUCUCACUAAGUUGCUUAGGGCCUUACUAAGUGUCUGAGACUGUCCUUGAACUUGGGAUCCUCCUUAUCCUCCUCACUCAGCCUCCCAACCUGCUAGGGUUACAGGUGUAAGCUACCACACCCUAAUUAUACAUAACAGUGGUAAUCAUUAUAAUAUAUUUGUAAGUGAAUGUAGUCUAAUUGGUCUGUUUCAUUUUCCCAUAACUUCCCCUUUCUCUUCCCUCCUCCUUCCUCAUAUUCCCUACAUCUUCUAUUGGAGUCCCUACUCUUCUAUUGGAGCUCUGUCCCUAAUUUAUAUAGGGUUUUUAACAUGAAAGGCUUUUUCUGCAUCUAAUGAGAUGAACAUUUUCCUUACUUCUAUUUAUGUAAUGAAUUAUGUCUCUGAUUUUGGUAUUAGAGUAAUACUGUCUUUAUAGAAUGGCUUUGGGAGUACCUUCCCACCCCCACUUUCUAUUUUAUGGAACAAUUUGAGGAGCGUUCUUAUUAGUUCUUUGAAGGUCUGACAGAAUUCAGCUGGAAAUUUGUCUGAUCCUGGGCUUUUCUUUGUAUUGGGC